RNAcentral lists this ribosomal RNA (497 nucleotides) under uncultured bacterium. Its description in RNAcentral is "partial 16S ribosomal RNA". It matches the Rfam family "Bacterial small subunit ribosomal RNA", at positions 28 to 507 of the family's 1533-position model. The record is from RNAcentral.
GAUGAACGCUGGCGGCGUGCCUAAUACAUGCAAGUCGAGCGAACGGACGAGAAGCUUGCUUCUCUGAUGUUAGCGGCGGACGGGUGAGCAACACGUGGAUAACCUACCUAUAAGACUGGGAUAACUUCGGGAAACCGGAGCUAAUACCGGAUAAUAUUUUGAACCGCAUGAUUCAAAAGUGAAAGACGGUCUUGCUGUCACUUAUAGAUGGAUCCGCGCUGCAUUAGCUAGUUGGUAAGGUAACGGCUUACCAAGGCAACGAUGCAUAGCCGACCUGAGAGGGUGAUCGGCCACACUGGAACUGAGACACGGUCCAGACUCCUACGGGAGGCAGCAGUAGGGAAUCUUCCGCAAUGGGCGAAAGCCUGACGGAGCAACGCCGCGUGAGUGAUGAAGGUCUUCGGAUCGUAAAACUCUGUUAUUAGGGAAGAACAUAUGUGUAAGUAACUGUGCACAUCUUGACGGUACCUAAUCAGAAAGCCACGGCUAACUACGUG